This 1448-nucleotide ribosomal RNA is filed under the name Klebsiella sp. 2359. Its description in RNAcentral is "bacterial SSU rRNA". It matches the Rfam family "Bacterial small subunit ribosomal RNA". The record is from RNAcentral. Lineage: Bacteria; Pseudomonadati; Pseudomonadota; Gammaproteobacteria; Enterobacterales; Enterobacteriaceae.
AACAGAGUUUGAUCCUGGCUCAGAUUGAACGCUGGCGGCAGGCCUAACACAUGCAAGUCGAGCGGUAGCACAGAGAGCUUGCUCUCGGGUGACGAGCGGCGGACGGGUGAGUAAUGUCUGGGAAACUGCCUGAUGGAGGGGGAUAACUACUGGAAACGGUAGCUAAUACCGCAUAACGUCGCAAGACCAAAGUGGGGGACCUUCGGGCCUCAUGCCAUCAGAUGUGCCCAGAUGGGAUUAGCUGGUAGGUGGGGUAACGGCUCACCUAGGCGACGAUCCCUAGCUGGUCUGAGAGGAUGACCAGCCACACUGGAACUGAGACACGGUCCAGACUCCUACGGGAGGCAGCAGUGGGGAAUAUUGCACAAUGGGCGCAAGCCUGAUGCAGCCAUGCCGCGUGUGUGAAGAAGGCCUUCGGGUUGUAAAGCACUUUCAGCGGGGAGGAAGGCGGUGAGGUUAAUAACCUCACCGAUUGACGUUACCCGCAGAAGAAGCACCGGCUAACUCCGUGCCAGCAGCCGCGGUAAUACGGAGGGUGCAAGCGUUAAUCGGAAUUACUGGGCGUAAAGCGCACGCAGGCGGUCUGUCAAGUCGGAUGUGAAAUCCCCGGGCUCAACCUGGGAACUGCAUUCGAAACUGGCAGGCUAGAGUCUUGUAGAGGGGGGUAGAAUUCCAGGUGUAGCGGUGAAAUGCGUAGAGAUCUGGAGGAAUACCGGUGGCGAAGGCGGCCCCCUGGACAAAGACUGACGCUCAGGUGCGAAAGCGUGGGGAGCAAACAGGAUUAGAUACCCUGGUAGUCCACGCUGUAAACGAUGUCGAUUUGGAGGUUGUGCCCUUGAGGCGUGGCUUCCGGAGCUAACGCGUUAAAUCGACCGCCUGGGGAGUACGGCCGCAAGGUUAAAACUCAAAUGAAUUGACGGGGGCCCGCACAAGCGGUGGAGCAUGUGGUUUAAUUCGAUGCAACGCGAAGAACCUUACCUGGUCUUGACAUCCACAGAACUUUCCAGAGAUGGAUUGGUGCCUUCGGGAACUGUGAGACAGGUGCUGCAUGGCUGUCGUCAGCUCGUGUUGUGAAAUGUUGGGUUAAGUCCCGCAACGAGCGCAACCCUUAUCCUUUGUUGCCAGCGGUUAGGCCGGGAACUCAAAGGAGACUGCCAGUGAUAAACUGGAGGAAGGUGGGGAUGACGUCAAGUCAUCAUGGCCCUUACGACCAGGGCUACACACGUGCUACAAUGGCAUAUACAAAGAGAAGCGACCUCGCGAGAGCAAGCGGACCUCAUAAAGUAUGUCGUAGUCCGGAUUGGAGUCUGCAACUCGACUCCAUGAAGUCGGAAUCGCUAGUAAUCGUAGAUCAGAAUGCUACGGUGAAUACGUUCCCGGGCCUUGUACACACCGCCCGUCACACCAUGGGAGUGGGUUGCCAAAGAAGUAGGUAGCUUAACCUUCGG